GACGAACGCUGGCGGCGUGCCUAACACAUGCAAGUCGAGCGCUGAAGGCUGGUUCUUGUACCAACUGGAUGUGCCGCGCACGGGUGAGUAACGCGUGGGGAAUCUGCCUUUGAGCGGGGGACAACAUUUGGAAACGAAUGCUAAUACCGCAUAAAAACUUUAAACACAAGUUUUAAGUUUGAAAGAUGCAAUUGCAUCACUCAAAGAUGAUCCCGCGUUGUAUUAGCUAGUUGGUGAGGUAAAGGCUCACCAAGGCGAUGAUACAUAGUCGACCUGAGCGGGUGGUCGGCCGCAUUGGGACUGGGACACGGCCCAAACGCCUACGGGAGGCAGCAGUAGGGAAACGUCGGCAAGGGGCGAAAGUCUGACCGAGCAAGGCCGCGGGAGUGAAGAAGGUUUUCGGAUCGGAAAACUCGGUUGGUAGAGAAGAACGUUGGUGAGAGUGGAAAGCUCAUCAAGUGACGGUAACUACCCAGAAAGGGACGGCUAACUACGUG
Molecule: ribosomal RNA, 497 nt
Filed under: uncultured bacterium
Lineage: Bacteria
Description: partial 16S ribosomal RNA
Rfam family: Bacterial small subunit ribosomal RNA
Source: RNAcentral